This 1212-nucleotide long non-coding RNA is filed under the name Strigops habroptila (Kakapo). RNAcentral's name for it is "lncRNA (ENSSHBG00005016792.1)". The record is from RNAcentral. Lineage: Eukaryota; Metazoa; Chordata; Aves; Psittaciformes; Psittacidae.
GGGAAGCAUUCACUGUGAUGUUAGUGGUGUAGCGUGCGAGCACAGUGCAGUGUGUGAGCACAUACUCCUGAUCUCUCUAGAUUAAUAGUGGAAAGAUUAGGAGAACUUGUAGGGCCACCUCGUGGCCAUGCUAUGUACAGUGGCUCACAGUACUGAUGUCUGCUUCGUACAGCCAAGGAUGUUUUCUUUUGUGUGAUUAUACCCUGGUUUUCCUUUGUUUUACCAACACAUACUCUCCUUUUUGGCCUUAAACCCCUUAAUAAUCCUUGUACCUCUUUUUACAGUACCUGGAAAGAAUGGAAAUCUAGUCCAUCCAUGACCAACUAUGCUGACUGGAUUUGAGCUGCAGUUUGCAACCAGGAAAAGGAAAAUUAACCUGCCAAACAACUUAUAGCAUUAGCAGGCUACACCAGAGGUCCCACAUUUUGACACUGAUUAUUUCAUUUCCUGUAUGACUCAAAAUACAUGUAUUUUAGGCUAGAGGUAUGUCUGUUUUAAGUACUGAAGGAGUGAAGGUAUGAGUACAGCUGACUUCAGGAACUGCUUAUUGGUUAGGUUUGUUGUCAUAUAGGACUAGGAAGGAAAACAAUUUUCUUGUUUCUGGUCAUACUAUUUCUGUGUGUUGUUUCCAGAUGUUGUGCUUUGGGAAUGCUUUUAUCGGAUAUGUUAGCAGUGUGAGGGUGCAACUAGAUCAGUUCUUAACACCACCACGAAUGCUGUUCCAAGUGUCAUCUAACAGUUUUAUGUGGGACAAAGAAUAGAAGGAAUGAGGUGAAAACAGGAAAAAAAGAUUAAAAGUUCCUGUAAGCAGUUCACUGCUUUGCAGAACAAAGGUGGAGGCACUUGCUGGUGAAGGCCUUUUGGUGCUCAGGUGAAGUAUAGUAUAAAACAUGUACAGUUUGAAGAGAUCAUUUUAAUCCUGGGCAGCAGUAUCCCCAUGUGGCUAUGCAGAGGUGAGCAUAUGAACCUGAGGGAUACAGCCUGUGAAAAAGGCCAGUGCAGAAUCAGAGGGAGGAGAAGUAUAGAAGCCCAAUGGUAAAACUCCACAUCUGCUAACAGGGGAGCACAGGUGAAACAACUGGGAUCUUUCUUAGGAAGAGGUUUGUACAUAGGGGUGAGGUUAGAGGGUGUUUUCUGCACGCUGCUGUUUAUAAAUAUUUAUAUACAUGUGGUUUUUUAAAACAAUUUUAAAUGUGACAGUUGGUUCUGGAA